CGGCUAGGGGGCCAUCCCGGCUUACCAACCCGAUGCAAACUGCGAAUACCGGAGAAUGUUAUCACGGGAGACACACGGCGGGUGCUAACGUCCGUCGUGAAGAGGGAAACAACCCAGACCGCCAGCUAAGGUCCCAAAGUCAUGGUUAAGUGGGAAACGAUGUGGGAAGGCCCAGACAGCCAGGAUGUUGGCUUAGAAGCAGCCAUCAUUUAAAGAAAGCGUAAUAGCUCACUGGUCGAGUCGGCCUGCGCGGAAGAUGUAACGGGGCUAAACCAUGCACCGAAGCUGCGGCAGCGACGCUUAUGCGUUCGUUGGGUAGGGGAGCGUUCUGUAAGCCUGCGAAGGUGGCCUGUGAGGGUUGCUGGAGGUAUCAGAAGUGCGAAUGCUGACAUAAGUAACGAUAAAGCGGGUGAAAAGCCCGCUCGCCGGAAGACCAAGGGUUCCUGUCCAACGUUAAUCGGGGCAGGGUGAGUCGACCCCUAAGGCGAGGCCGAAAGGCGUAGUCGAUGGGAAACGGGUUAAUAUUCCCGUACUUGGUGUUACUGCGAAGGGGGGACGGAGAAGGCUAUGUUGGCCGGGCGACGGUUGUCCCGGUUUAAGCGUGUAGGU
This 609-nucleotide ribosomal RNA is filed under the name Salmonella enterica subsp. enterica serovar Paratyphi B. Its description in RNAcentral is "bacterial LSU rRNA". It matches the Rfam family "Bacterial large subunit ribosomal RNA", at positions 916 to 1525 of the family's 2925-position model. Lineage: Bacteria; Pseudomonadati; Pseudomonadota; Gammaproteobacteria; Enterobacterales; Enterobacteriaceae. The record is from RNAcentral.